GGGGUGUGACUGCGUACCUUUUGUAUAAUGGGUCAGCGACUUAUAUUCUGUAGCAAGGUUAACCGAAUAGGGGAGCCGAAGGGAAACCGAGUCUUAACUGGGCGUUAAGUUGCAGGGUAUAGACCCGAAACCCGGUGAUCUAGCCAUGGGCAGGUUGAAGGUUGGGUAACACUAACUGGAGGACCGAACCGACUAAUGUUGAAAAAUUAGCGGAUGACUUGUGGCUGGGGGUGAAAGGCCAAUCAAACCGGGAGAUAGCUGGUUCUCCCCGAAAGCUAUUUAGGUAGCGCCUCGUGAAUUCAUCUUCGGGGGUAGAGCACUGUUUCGGCUAGGGGGUCAUCCCGACUUACCAACCCGAUGCAAACUGCGAAUACCGAAGAAUGUUAUCACGGGAGACACACGGCGGGUGCUAACGUCCGUCGUGAAGAGGGAAACAACCCAGACCGCCAGCUAAGGUCCCAAAGUCAUGGUUAAGUGGGAAACGAUGUGGGAAGGCACAGACAGCCAGGAUGUUGGCUUAGAAGCAGCCAUCAUUUAAAGAAAGCGUAAUAGCUCACUGGUCGAGUCGGCCUGCGCGGAAGAUGUAACGGGGCUAAACCAUGCACCGAAGCUGCGGCAGCGACACUAUGUGUUGUUGGGUAGGGGAGCGUUCUGUAAGCCGUUGAAGGUGUACUGUGAGGUAUGCUGGAGGUAUCAGAAGUGCGAAUGCUGACAUAAGUAACGAUAAUGCGGGUGAAAAACCCGCACGCCGGAAGACCAAGGGUUCCUGUCCAACGUUAAUCGGGGCAGGGUGAGUCGACCCCUAAGGCGAGGCCGAAAGGCGUAGUCGAUGGGAAACAGGUUAAUAUUCCUGUACUUGGUGUUACUGCGAAGGGGGGACGGAGAAGGCUAUGUUAGCCGGGCGACGGUUGUCCCGGUUUAAGCAUGUAGGCGGAGGUUCCAGGUAAAUCCGGUACCUUUUAACGCUGAGGUGUGAUGACGAGGCACUACGGUGCUGAAGUAACAAAUGCCCUGCUUCCAGGAAAAGCCUCUAAGCAUCAGGUAACACGAAAUCGUACCCCAAACCGACACAGGUGGUCAGGUAGAGAAUACCAAGGCGCUUGAGAGAACUCGGGUGAAGGAACUAGGCAAAAUGGUGCCGUAACUUCGGGAGAAGGCACGCUGAUAUGUAGGUGAAGUGAUUUACUCAUGGAGCUGAAAUCAGUCGAAGAUACCAGCUGGCUGCAACUGUUUAUUAAAAACACAGCACUGUGCAAACACGAAAGUGGACGUAUACGGUGUGACGCCUGCCCGGUGCCGGAAGGUUAAUUGAUGGGGUUAUCCGUAAGGAGAAGCUCUUGAUCGAAGCCCCGGUAAACGGCGGCCGUAACUAUAACGGUCCUAAGGUAGCGAAAUUCCUUGUCGGGUAAGUUCCGACCUGCACGAAUGGCGUAAUGAUGGCCAGGCUGUCUCCACCCGAGACUCAGUGAAAUUGAACUCGCUGUGAAGAUGCAGUGUACCCGCGGCAAGACGGAAAGACCCCGUGAACCUUUACUAUAGCUUGACACUGAACACUGGUCCUUGAUGUGUAGGAUAGGUGGGAGGCUUUGAAGUGUGGACGCCAGUCUGCAUGGAGCCAUCCUUGAAAUACCACCCUUUAAUGGCUGGUGUUCUAACGUAGACCCGUGAUCCGGGUUGCGGACAGUGUCUGGUGGGUAGUUUGACUGGGGCGGUCUCCUCCUAAAGAGUAACGGAGGAGCACGAAGGUUAGCUAAUCCUGGUCGGACAUCAGGAGGUUAGUGCAAAGGCAUAAGCUAGCUUGACUGCGAGAGUGACGGCUCGAGCAGGUGCGAAAGCAGGUCUUAGUGAUCCGGUGGUUCUGAAUGGAAGGGCCAUCGCUCAACGGAUAAAAGGUACUCCGGGGAUAACAGGCUGAUACCGCCCAAGAGUUCAUAUCGACGGCGGUGUUUGGCACCUCGAUGUCGGCUCAUCACAUCCUGGGGCUGAAGUAGGUCCCAAGGGUAUGGCUGUUCGCCAUUUAAAGUGGUACGCGAGCUGGGUUUAGAACGUCGUGAGACAGUUCGGUCCCUAUCUGCCGUGGGCGCUGGAGAAUUGAGGGGGGCUGCUCCUAGUACGAGAGGACCGGAGUGGACGCAUCACUGGUGUUCGGGUUGUCAUGCCAAUGGCAUUGCCCGGUAGCUAAAUGCGGAAGAGAUAAGUGCUGAAAGCAUCUAAGCACGAAACUUGCCCCGAGAUGAGUUCUCCCUGAC
This 2249-nucleotide ribosomal RNA is filed under the name Citrobacter portucalensis. Its description in RNAcentral is "partial 23S ribosomal RNA". It matches the Rfam family "Bacterial large subunit ribosomal RNA", at positions 588 to 2819 of the family's 2925-position model. Lineage: Bacteria; Pseudomonadati; Pseudomonadota; Gammaproteobacteria; Enterobacterales; Enterobacteriaceae. The record is from RNAcentral.